CGCGGCCUAUCAGCUUGUUGGUGGGGUAAUGGCCUACCAAGGCGACGACGGGUAGCCGGCCUGAGAGGGUGUCCGGCCACACUGGGACUGAGAUACGGCCCAGACUCCUACGGGAGGCAGCAGUGGGGAAUAUUGCACAAUGGGCGCAAGCCUGAUGCAGCGACGCCGCGUGAGGGAUGACGGCCUUCGGGUUGUAAACCUCUUUCAGCAGGGACGAAGCGCAAGUGACGGUACCUGUAGAAGAAGGACCGGCCAACUACGUACCAGCAGCCGCGGUAAUACGUAGGGUCCGAGCGUUGUCCGGAAUUACUGGGCGUAAAGAGCUCGUAGGUGGUUUGUCGCGUUGUCCGUGAAAACUCACAGCUCAACUGUGGGCGUGCGGGCGAUACGGGCAGACUGGAGUACUGCAGGGGAGACUGGAAUUCCUGGUGUAGCGGUGGAAUGCGCAGAUAUCAGGAGGAACACCGGUGGCGAAGGCGGGUCUCUGGGCAGUAACUGACGCUGAGGAGCGAAAGCGUGGGGAGCGAACAGGAUUAGAUACCCUGGUAGUCCACGCCGUAAACGGUGGGUACUAGGUGUGGGUUUCCUUCCUUGGGAUCCGUGCCGUAGCUAACGCAUUAAGUACCCCGCCUGGGGAGUACGG
RNAcentral lists this ribosomal RNA (643 nucleotides) under uncultured Actinomycetes bacterium. RNAcentral's name for it is "bacterial SSU rRNA". It matches the Rfam family "Bacterial small subunit ribosomal RNA", at positions 232 to 885 of the family's 1533-position model. The record is from RNAcentral. Lineage: Bacteria; Bacillati; Actinomycetota; Actinomycetes.